UACGUAGGGGGCUAGCGUUGUCCGGAAUCAUUGGGCGUAAAGAGCGUGUAGGCGGCUCGGUAAGUCCGCUGUGAAAGUCCAGGGCUCAACCCUGGAAUGCCAGUGGAAACUGUCGAGCUAGAGUCCGGAAGAGGCGAGUGGAAUUCCUGGUGUAGCGGUGAAAUGCGCAGAUAUCAGGAGGAACACCAAUGGCGAAGGCAGCUCGCUGGGACGGUACUGACGCUGAGACGCGAAAGCGUGGGGAGAAAACAGG
Molecule: ribosomal RNA, 253 nt
Filed under: uncultured bacterium
Lineage: Bacteria
Description: partial 16S ribosomal RNA
Rfam family: Bacterial small subunit ribosomal RNA
Source: RNAcentral